UAGGUGUUAUAUAAUGAAAGACCUUGUUGCAAUCUCCUUGUCAGUACAACGAAUGGUGUACCAUACCAGCGGCGACUGAUGGAAACAAGACAUGAUUUUGUCAUGUGUGUAAAGUGAACAACCUCCGCAGAGUGUAAACUAUUCAAACAGUCAGGUCCAUGGUCAUGAACAACACUUGAACCUUUCUUGACAUGCAUGACUUGUCUUGCGUAUUCCUUGUGUGCCUUUACUCUAGAAACCUACAAACAACGUGAGUAGGUUGAGUACCCUCAUGUUGAAGGAAG
RNAcentral lists this long non-coding RNA (284 nucleotides) under Hordeum vulgare. Its description in RNAcentral is "long non-coding RNA (HVUL_LNC019614)". Lineage: Eukaryota; Viridiplantae; Streptophyta; Magnoliopsida; Poales; Poaceae. The record is from RNAcentral.